CCUUGAACAAAAUCGGGGUUGGUAGUAAGCAAAAAGGAGAGAGCAGGUUUGGGACACCGACAGUGAGUCCACUUGCUGAGAGUCUCACAGCUGGUGGGUCCGUACCAAGCAGCUCUGGCAGGUUGAGGAGGGCACCACAGGGUUCUCAGUGGUCUGGACCGCACCCCAGGAUUUGGUGACGCCGGCGCUAAGCCUGACUGGACUCCACCUGCCAGCGCCCUGUUCCAGUGACAACACAGUCUUCCAAAUAGCCUCGAGCACCCACGCUCAGGGGGUAAUUACAAGCCUCUUGUCAUUGCCGUUCAACCGAAAGUAACAGAAGCAGAGGAGAGCAUUUGUUUUAAAGAUAAGGGUGUCACUUGGAACCAAAGGGCUGGAACCGGCAUCUGGGAAUUGAACGCCUUUAAAACCCCUGUCCCUGUCCCUGUCCACAUCCCUGUCUCUGUCCCUGUCCCUGUCCCUGUCCCUGUCCCUGUCCCUGUCCCUGUCCCUGUCCCUGUCCCUGUCCCUGUCCCUGUCCCUGUCCCUGUCCCUGUCCCUGUCCCUGUCUCUGUCCCUGUCUCUGUCUCUGUCCCUGUUUCUGUCCCUGUCCUUGCCUCUGUCCUUGUCCCCAUUUCUGUCUCUGUCCCUGUCUCUCUCCAUUUUCUCAUUUUGCCCUUCAUUUGUUGCGUUUUCCCCCCUCUUCUUCCCAGCUCAAAAUUCUCAGAGAAAGAUUCUGGUUGCCUGUCGUGGUUCAGAUGGUCAUUCCUGGACCAACUUAUUGUGGCCAGAGGAAGAGAUUAUGUGUUGUGUUUUAUAUAUAUAUGUACAUAUAUAUUAUUUAGUACCCACACAUGUAGAAGUCUGCAAAAUCAGAUAAUAAAAAGUGAUCUUUGUCAUACUGCAGUGCAACCACAAUGUGUAUGGUUUUACCUGAUCGUAUUUUACAAUUUUUAAAACUUUCUCCAGUGGUAGGGGUCCUAGGGAGCUCACCUCAUUCCUCCAUAGGUGGGGCCGGUAAAGCAGGACCCCGCAUUUCCUACACAAUUGUUUUCUGAAUGAGAGUUUG
RNAcentral lists this long non-coding RNA (1048 nucleotides) under Zalophus californianus (California sea lion). RNAcentral describes it as "lncRNA (ENSZCAG00015017722.1)". The record is from RNAcentral. Lineage: Eukaryota; Metazoa; Chordata; Mammalia; Carnivora; Otariidae.